RNAcentral lists this ribosomal RNA (497 nucleotides) under uncultured bacterium. Its description in RNAcentral is "partial 16S ribosomal RNA". It matches the Rfam family "Bacterial small subunit ribosomal RNA", at positions 28 to 507 of the family's 1533-position model. The record is from RNAcentral.
GAUGAACGCUGGCGGCGUGCCUAAUACAUGCAAGUCGAGCGAACAGACGAGGCUCUCGCGCUUCUGACGUUGGCGACGGGCGGGUAAGUAACACGUGGAUAACCUACCUCUUCGACUUGGGCAACGUCGGGAAACCGUAGCUACUGCCGGAAAACAUAUUUAACCGCAUGGUUCAAUAGUGAAAUACGGUUUUGCUGACACUUAUAGAUAUAUGCGCGCCGGAUUAGCUAGUUCGUAGGGUAACGGCUUCUCAAUGCAGCGAUGCGUAGCCGACCUGAGAGGGUGAUCGGCCACACUGGAACUGAGACACGGUCCAGACUCCUACGGGAGGCAGCAGUAGGGACUCUUCCGCAAUGGGCGGAAGCCUGACGGAGCAACGCCGCGUGAGUGAUGAAGGUCUUCGGAUCGUAAGACUCUGUUAUUAGUGAAGAACAAAUGUGUAAGUAACUAUGCACGUCUUGACGGUACCUAAUCAGAAAGCCCCGGCUAACUACGUG